UGGUUAUUUAGUGCUUAUUUACCAGGCAUGGGUUUGGGGUGAGGGAUUUCCCUAUUUUCCAAAUAUCCUGACUGUUUUAUCAUUAAAAAAAAAAAAGGCAAGGAUAAAUGAUUCUAUAAACCUAAUAACAAAACACAAGUCCUAGUGACUACGAGAUGGAAAAAUAUUUGAUAAACUAACAUCCAUUCUUGACAUGAAAAAAGCAGUAUCCAUAAUUCCCAUUUUAUAACCUACUGAAAAACCAGAAGUAUUGAUACAACCAGAAUUCCACUCCCCGUACACUAGAGCCCACUACUCAGCACUGUCGACAGUCUGCAGUCAGGCAACAGAAGGGACAAUGCCUACAAGGGAACAAAAAGCCCUAGGAGUCUUAUUAGAUCGAUAAUAUCUUGUUCUUAGGGAAGUUUAAUAAUUCAGGGAGAAUCAACAUCUUGAGGUAAUAUGUAAUUCAUAUAUUAAUGAUAAAAUACCAGCAGACAUUUUAGUCAAACAAGAACAAAGAAAAAGAAUAGCAAGGAAGUGUAGCAAACCCCUCAGAUACAAAGCUCCAGGUUAAAUGCACAGUGUGAGAAAGGUGGCAUUUCAUUUUAGUAGGUGAAAGUCAGGAUAUUGGCUAUGUUGUUGGUCAUCGAAAAAAACAGCUGUAUCCCCCUUAUACCGAAUCAGUUGCAAAUGCAUCAAAAAAAUUUUUUGAAAAAUGAAACUAUACCCCUAAAAGGAAAAGCGCUAAAUGACCCAGAUGAAAGAAUACGUGAAUGGCUUCUAAACAAUAGAUGUACAGCCCCACCAGCCAAUUCCCUGUGAGACAGCAUUCAUGCCCGGCAGCUGACAAAGGGGCCGUGUGACACCAAGGAGGUGGAGAACCACCCUCUACGCCUCAGAACAAGUGCUCUGGCAGCUCUCUGCACGCCCUCACCGUGCGGCCUGGCGGGCCCACUCCUGCACCACCUUAGAGAGUCCUUACGCGUCCUGGAAGAGUCACACCAGCAUGUGUAUAAAAGCAUCAGAACCACCGAAGUGACCAACAGCAGCAGGGAAACAGAUGACAAGAGUAUGAGGCGGGUAUUAUUUGAAGAGAUAAUGACUGAGAAUUUCCUAAAAGUGACAGAAGACAGCAAUCCACAGAUGCACAAAUCCCAACAAACCCCAAACAGGAUAAAUAAAGAGGAAUCCUGCUGUAGACAGGAGUGACACUGCUGGCUUCACAGGAUCAGUGGAGGCCGGAAAACCAGAAUGGUGGCUUCAUGGGCUGAAAGGAAUUACUGGCAACCUAGAAUUCUAAACCUGGAAAAAACAUACAGUAUUUGAAGAAUCAAGGUCAUCGAAAACAAAUCAAGUCUGAGAAACUUUCACAGCCAAGAGGAGCCUAAGGAGACGUGAUAACUACAUGUGAUGUACGAUCCUGGGGGUCCUGAAACAGAAAAAGGACAUCAGGUAAAA
Molecule: long non-coding RNA, 1440 nt
Organism: Ailuropoda melanoleuca (giant panda)
Lineage: Eukaryota; Metazoa; Chordata; Mammalia; Carnivora; Ursidae
Exons: 4
Source: RefSeq, a predicted model, not a curated record